This 557-nucleotide ribosomal RNA is filed under the name uncultured bacterium. Its description in RNAcentral is "partial 16S ribosomal RNA". It matches the Rfam family "Bacterial small subunit ribosomal RNA", at positions 355 to 914 of the family's 1533-position model. The record is from RNAcentral.
UAAGGAAUAUUGGUCAAUGGGCGGAAGCCUGAACCAGCCAUGCCGCGUGCAGGAUGACUGCCCUAUGGGUUGUAAACUGCUUUUGUCCAGGAAUAAACCUAGAUACGUGUAUCUAGCUGAAUGUACUGGAAGAAUAAGGAUCGGCUAACUCCGUGCCAGCAGCCGCGGUAAUACGGAGGAUCCGAGCGUUAUCCGGAUUUAUUGGGUUUAAAGGGUGCGUAGGCGGCCUAUUAAGUCAGGGUGAAAUACGGUGGCUCAACCAUCGCAGUGCCUUUGAUACUGAUGGGCUUGAAUCCAUUUGAAGUGGGCGGAAUAAGACAAGUAGCGGUGAAUGCAUAGAUAUGUCUUAGAACUCCGAUUGCGAAGGCAGCUCACUAAGCUGGUAUUGACGCUGAUGCACGAAAGCGUGGGGAUCGAACAGGAUUAGAUACCCUGGUAGUCCACGCCCUAAACGAUGAUAACUCGAUGUUGGCGAUAGACAGCCAGCGUCCAAGCGAAAGCGUUAAGUUAUCCACCUGGGGAGUACGCCCGCAAGGGUGAAACUUAAAGGAAUUGAC